GUGCUCGCUUUGGCAGCACAUAUACUAAAAUUGGAAUGAUACAGAGAAGAUUAGCAUGGCCCCUGUGCAAGGAUGAAAAGUAAACUUGUUCAUCUCUUCCCCUUUCU
Molecule: small nuclear RNA, 107 nt
Organism: Suncus etruscus (white-toothed pygmy shrew)
Lineage: Eukaryota; Metazoa; Chordata; Mammalia; Eulipotyphla; Soricidae
Source: RefSeq, a predicted model, not a curated record